This 429-nucleotide ribosomal RNA is filed under the name Chloroflexota bacterium. RNAcentral's name for it is "Chloroflexi bacterium partial 16S ribosomal RNA". It matches the Rfam family "Bacterial small subunit ribosomal RNA", at positions 355 to 776 of the family's 1533-position model. Lineage: Bacteria; Bacillati; Chloroflexota. The record is from RNAcentral.
UGGGGAAUAUUGCACAAUGGGCGCAAGCCUGAUGCAGCCAUGCCGCGUGUAUGAAGAAGGCCUUCGGGUUGUAAAGUACUUUCAGCGGGGAGGAAGGGAGUAAAGUUAAUACCUUUGCUCAUUGACGUUACCCGCAGAAGAAGCACCGGCUAACUCCGUGCCAGCAGCCGCGGUAAUACGGAGGGUGCAAGCGUUAAUCGGAAUUACUGGGCGUAAAGCGCACGCAGGCGGUUUGUUAAGUCAGAUGUGAAAGCCCCGGGCUCAACCUGGGAACGGCAUCUGAUACUGGCAGGCUUGAGUGACGUAGAGGGGGGUAGAAUGCCAGGUGUAGCGGUGAAAUGCGUAGAGAUCUGGAGGAAUACCGGUGGCGAAGGCGGCCCCCUGGACGAAGACUGACGCUCAGGUGCGAAAGCGUGGGGAGCAAACAGG